Molecule: long non-coding RNA, 1775 nt
Filed under: Anas platyrhynchos (mallard)
Lineage: Eukaryota; Metazoa; Chordata; Aves; Anseriformes; Anatidae
Description: lncRNA (ENSAPLG00020000394.1)
Source: RNAcentral
AAGGCUAUUAAUAGGUCUUUGCUUUUCUUUUGGCCUUUCAUGGUCUCCUCAGUACUUGUUUCCAAACCCUUAAAAGUGCAGGGCAUGUAAACUGAAAUUUUGCAGAGAAUUUUUGGUGACUUCUAUUUUUGAGGGCAUGGGAUAUUAUUUUAAAACAUAAUAUAAUUGGUGGUGCUCUCCUUGUUGCAGUUACUGAAAACAAAUCAUCCUGGUCCCUUCACCAGUUCAACCAUCAGUCUUGGCGAAAAUUGACCACCUAAUGCAAUCAUUGGGCAGGAGGCCACUAUGGGUAGUUUAAGAUCUGGAGAUUCACAUGAUGAGAAGGUGAAAGAGGCUGAGACAAAAUUGGAGUUGAUGACCAUAUAGUGCUGCAGAAGGAGGUGGAUCUGUGCAACACUGGAAAAGGCCACACGGGGGACAAUGCCACAAGAAGCCCGUGCUCAAAUCACAGAAUCACAGAAUCACAGAAUCACAGAAUCACAGAAUCAGAAUCGCAGAAUCACAGAAAUAACAAAAUCAGGGUAGGAAACGUCCUCCUCCUUCUCCUCCAACCACCACCACCGCCUCCUCCACCACUGCCUUCUACACCACCAAAAACUAGAACGAUGACCUUGAAGGACUACUCAAAAAUAAUGAUUCUAUGUAUCCUCCUCAACCACACACAAUCAUGGAAUAUCCCCAGUUGGAAGGGACACCUAAGGAUCAUCAAGUCCAACUCAUGGUACCACAGGUCUAAAAAACAUUCCUCCACCACCAGCACCACCUCCUCCUCCAACACCGUAUAAAAGGAUGACAUUGAAGGACUCUUCCAACAAUAAUGAGUCUAUGUAUCCUCCCCCACCGCACAGAAUCAUGGAAUAAUUCCAGUUGAAAGGUACACAUAAGGAUCAUCAAGUCCAAUUCAUGGUACCACAGGUUUAAAAUAAUUCAUCCUCAAACACCACCACCACCGCCUCCUCCACCACCGCUAGAAAAACGAUCUUCACAGUCUCUUACAAUAAUAACCAUUCUAGGUAUCCUGCUCCACCACAUAGAAUCAUGGAAUAUCCCCAGUUGGAUUGGACCCAUAAGGAUCACCAAUGCCAACUCAUGGUAUCACAGGUCUAAAAAUAAUUACUCCCGCAACACCACCACCAGCGCCUCCUACACCACCGCUAGAACAAUGAUCUUUAAAGACUCUUCUAACAAUAAUGAUUCUAUGUAUCCUCCUCCACCACAUAGAAUCAUGGAAUAUCCCCAGUUGGAAGGGACAUAUAAGGAUCACUAAGUCCAACUCAUGGUACCACAGGUCUAAAAACAAUUCCUCCACCACCACAAGAACUUCCUCCUCCACCACCGCCGAGAACGAUGACCUUGAAGGUCUCUCCCAACAAUAAUGAUUCUAUGUAUCCUCCCCCACCGCACAGAAUCAUGGAAUAUCCCCAGUUGGAAAGGACAUAUAAGGAACACCAAGUCCAACUCAUGGUACCACAGGUCUAAAAAUAAUUCCUCCACCACCACCAUCACUGCCUCCUCCACCACCAAAAACUAGAACAAUGACCUUGAAGGUCUCUUCCAACAAUAAUGAUUCUAUGUAUCCUCCUCCACCACAUAGAAUCAAGGAAUAAUUCCAGUUGAAAGGUACACAUAAGGAUCAUCAAGUCCAAUUCAUGGUACCACAGGUCUAAAAAUAAUUCAUCCUCAAACACCACCACCACCGCCUCCUCCACCACCGCUAGAAAAAUGAUCGUCACAGUCUCUUCCAACAAUAACCAUUUUAGGUAUCCUCCUCCACC